AAUGGGCGCAAGCCUGAUCCAGCCAUGCCGCGUGAGUGAUGAAGGCCCUAGGGUCGUAAAGCUCUUUCGCCUGUGAAGAUAAUGACGGUAGCAGGUAAAGAAACCCCGGCUAACUCCGUGCCAGCAGCCGCGGUAAUACGGAGGGGGUUAGCGUUGUUCGGAAUUACUGGGCGUAAAGCGCGCGUAGGCGGACUAUUAAGUCAGAGGUGAAAUCCCGGGGCUCAACCCCGGAACUGCCUUUGAUACUGGUAGUCUUGAGUUCGAGAGAGGUAAGUGGAAUUCCGAGUGUAGAGGUGAAAUUCGUAGAUAUUCGGAGGAACACCAGUGGCGAAGGCGGCUUACUGGCUCGAUACUGACGCUGAGGUGCGAAAGUGUGGGGGGCAAACAGGAUU
This 392-nucleotide ribosomal RNA is filed under the name uncultured Gammaproteobacteria bacterium. RNAcentral describes it as "bacterial SSU rRNA". It matches the Rfam family "Bacterial small subunit ribosomal RNA", at positions 370 to 779 of the family's 1533-position model. Lineage: Bacteria; Pseudomonadati; Pseudomonadota; Gammaproteobacteria. The record is from RNAcentral.